CUUGCUCUUGUGGAUCAGAAGACACACAUAAAAAUAUUCAUGGUUGUGUUGCUUAUGAGAGCCCCAAUCUAGAAGCAACCCAAAUGUUCAAUGGCAGGAAACUUUGGCUGGGUAAUUUGUAGAGAAAAGAGUUUUAUUUUGGCUCAUGGUUCUGCAGGCUGUAUAGGAAGCAUCUGCUUCUGGUGAGGGCCUCAAGAAGCUUCUACUCAUGGUGGAAGGUGAAAGAGUAGCAGUUGUGUAAAGUGUGCAGGAGUUCUAAUUUCUCCGCAUCUCUGCCAACACUUGUUAUCUUUUGUAUUUUUGAUAAUAGCCAUUGUAACAGGUGUAAGGUGAUAUCUCAUUGAGGUUUGGAUUUACUUUCCCUGAUG
This 368-nucleotide long non-coding RNA is filed under the name Homo sapiens (human). RNAcentral's name for it is "non-protein coding lnc-MFSD8-9:1". Lineage: Eukaryota; Metazoa; Chordata; Mammalia; Primates; Hominidae. The record is from RNAcentral.